RNAcentral lists this signal recognition particle RNA (217 nucleotides) under Butyrivibrio sp. RNAcentral's name for it is "signal recognition particle sRNA large type". The stretch from base 74 to 173 matches the Rfam family "Bacterial small signal recognition particle RNA". The record is from RNAcentral. Lineage: Bacteria; Bacillati; Bacillota; Clostridia; Lachnospirales; Lachnospiraceae.
UUAUUUUGUAAAAAACAGUAUAUUUAUAUAGCGGUUUUGUAAAGGGUGCAUGUAGCAGUCCUUUAUGUGUGAAAAUCGGGUCUUAUGCAAUGAAAAUCCGCGAACCGUGUCAGGUCGGGAACGAAGCAGCACUAAGCGGAAUCUUUCAUGUGUUGUAAGGUAGCCUGUUUUUACCGGAAGCAAACGUGCAUGCAUCCUUUACAGGACCGCAAAAAAA